CUUCUCUCCUACAUCAUCCCCCGCCCGUUAUGAAACACUUACCACGUGCCAGACACUGAGCCAAGCUCGUCACACCUUUACACCACCCAAUCCUCACACAACAUUCUGCGGUAGGUUUUACCAUCCCCAUUUUACAGAUAGGAAAGCUGAGGUUCAAGGAGGUUAAAUUGCUCUAAAUGACCCAGCAAGGUGAGGCAAGAAUUACAUUCCAACUAAUCUCAAUAAUAAAAUGUACGCUCUUAACUGCUACACUGCUCUGCAGAGCUUCAGGGGAGCCUUUCCCCUUAAAAGCCACCUGCUAUCAACUCUCCGGGAAGGAGAUGGUAUUUCUGAACAUCUCUCUGCCCCUGGAAGUGCCAAGGUGAGGCCCUGGACCACAGAGCCUCAGGAACCAGACAAAACUACGUUAAAACCCCAGCUGCUCCUCUUGGCUGUGAGACCCAACAGGCACUUUCAUGGGGCUCCGUUCCACCAUCUGAAAAGGAAAAUGAGCUCAGAGAUGUAAAAGGACCUGUCCAAGAAGCACAGUGAAGGUCAGCGUCUGGGACCCUGUGGCUCUUCCUUCUGCCCUGUUAACUUCCCACCGGGGACAAUGAGGUCAGUACAGAAUCAGGAUGUUUCUAUCCAUUUCUAUGAGCAGGGAGUACAAUGUCUGUUAGCAGAAGGGACAGUAGAGUUAAUGGUGUGUCUAUCAUCCAGCAGUCAGAGAGGGCUUGUGUGUGGACUCCGGUCACACUGAGAGAGCACUCACUCCGUGCAAAGCCCUGUGCUUGGUGCUGGGAUGCAAAGGUGAAUUGGAUGCAACCCUGCCCCACCCGGGAGAGCGAGAAUCUCUCGCUCACGUUCACUGCCAUGUCCUUCACCUAGUGCCUGGCACCAGUAGUCCUCAACAAAUACAUGCAGGACAAGUUUUAGCAUCACAGACUGGAGUCUAGACUCUCACAACUAAGCAGCUAGUGAAAAUAGUGUCCAGUCAACAAAUAUUUAUUGAACACCUGCUAUGCACUUAUGGAAGGACAGACAAUGGCCAUGACCCACAGAAGCCCAGGGAUCUGUGGGAACACAAGAGAGGCCCCUAAUUCCUCCCGGUUGGAAGAGACGGCUUCCAGGAGGGAGCAGCCCCUGAGCUGAGUCUCCAGGGGAAGGGUGAGGGAGUGAAAACACGGAGGUGGAACAGCUUGUGCAAAGGCACAGUGGUGACACACGGAGAGCAAGUUUGGGGCGCUGCCGGAAACACCUACAGCUGGAGGGUAAGGAGCCAGGCUGGGAGAGAAUGAAGCUGGCAGAGCUGGCAGAGCCAGACCACAAAGUAGUUUCAAGUAGUAGAACAGGGGAGCCAAUGAGGGACUGAGGCUGAGGAUGAUGAUGGGAUUGGCAUAGGAGACAGAUCGGCUUGUAGGGGAGGAUCAAAGAAGGACUUCGACUUUGAUUCUAUGAUCUGCCACGGGGAGACUUCAAGCAGAGGUGAGACAUGACGUGACUUACAUCCUAAGAGAAUACUGCCGUGCUGACACUAAUGAAGACCAAGGCGGAAGAAGCGGGGACACCCAUCAGGAGGCCACUGCAAUGACCCAGAUCUGAACACGAAUCCUCGCAAGAAUGGUCUCCAAAAGAGAUACGGACACCACCCCACCAACAAGUGGAUGCUGAAAGCGUGCAAUCUCAGGAGACCCUGAGAUUUCUAGAAGGCGGCCCCCAUGCUGUACGGCUGCCUGAGCGGCUCCUCCGGGAGGAAGAGUGCGGUGAGCAGGAGCUAUGAAGAUGGAUUCGGAAACUCCCCUGGAGGAGAAGACAUCUGAGCCACCCCUGGCCACCACCAAGAGUCACUGCAGCCCCUGCGUGAGGAGCUGCGUCCAAUUAAAGUCUCUCGUUGCAUCGCAGGACUGUGUCCCUCCUCCUUUCCCUUCCCCCAGCCCUGCUUCCAAGAUUCCUUUGAAUGUGGAGCAAUUAGAACCAGGUAUCUCUUGCAAAAGAAAUGUGGUCUAGUCAUUCUCAAAUGUUCUCCGUCACUCCUAACCAACCCGGCAAGGAAGUGCUUAGCAGAGGCCAGGGAGAGCUAACAGGUGGCUCUAAAUGGACACUGUAAUACAUUUUGAGAGCUUGAGGGCACCACUGUCAUCUGCUAUGUGACUCCACUUGGUGCUCAGGGCCGUAGUGAACAGUGGGGCAGGUUGUGCACAACUCCGUGACCGACCAGCAGCCCCAGAAUGAUACAUCGCUGGUGCAGAGCGACCAAGAUGUUUGUGGAAACGCAGAGCACACAAACACUAGUCACAUGUCGGCAACCCCACGUGACUCCAACUUAAGCCAGUGAACUGGCACAGAAGCAUAUCACCUCAACCUAACAGGACAAUCGGCGGGAGCAAAAGAAUGGGCAGCAUGUGACAACCAAACUUGGGAUUUGGGGGAAGGUUUCCUGGAAGAGAUGGCUGCUUGAGUUUUCUGAGCAUUGAAAGGGAAUUCACCAAGCAAACAGGAGGGGGGAUGGUAUUCCAGAAGGAGGGAACAAAAUCAACGAAGUUGGAGAACAGAGGCAGAACAUAGUAGGGUGUGAGGGUAGCCACCUUCCAUGUUUGGAAUGACCCGAGUAAAAGCCUGAGCCAGGGUGGGGUGGGAGGGGAGCAGGGCAGGGGAUCCUUAAAAGCUCCCUGGGAAGGAGGUCGGACCCUCUCCUGAACAUGAUGGGGGCACCACAGAUGAACAAAAUGACAUAGCCCUAGUUCUGAUUUUUGUAAUAUGGACACAGUGAGUUAAGAAGAGAGCUUCUCUGACUAGCUCUUCCUGGGCCGGUCCCCACCUCAGAAAGGACAGAAAGAAAAUAAUGUCUUAUGCCCUAGCACUGCGGAUGAAAAUGCACGCCUACAAUGGAAAGCCCAUCCUGGCUGCAAUUUAAAGGAUAGAGAUCUGAAGGAGUGUGUAAAGUCUGCUUUAGUGACUGCCAUGUCACUGCUUCUUCCAAGUGCUUUAUAAAUAUCCACUCCCCGAGCAUGAUAACCCAACAAGGUUAGUACAAAUAGGGCGCUGGUUUUACAGACUAGGAAACCGAGACACGAAGAGCUUACAGAAGUCUCUGAAGGUUACACUAAAAGCAGUGGCACAGAUGAACCUUGAACCCAGGAAGCCUGAUUCUGGAGUUGACCCUCUGAACCAGUUAUGCUGCCCUUCACAGUGACAGGGGAGUGACAUCCAGGCAUUACUCUUGGCUCCCAAAUGGACUAUUGACAUUACCUGCUCUUUGAAUAGGGAGCUGGGCCCUGGAGAUCUUUUUCCUUCAGCAACUGGUGCAAUGUUAAUCUUUGUCAGUAGGAGGCGCUGGAGACACUGGAGGAAGAAGGGCUUUCCCUCCUGGUUCUGGUGCUCAUCUUAGCCCGCUCCUGCAGCCCACACUGUGCCUCCAGUCAUGUGGUUUUGGUCGUGCAUGUGGCUUCCCGAGCACCCAGUUCCUGCUGUGCAGAAAGUUCUCCAAAAUCAGGCUCCUGCAGUGAAGACAACUUUCCAGCACCCAGAUCCUGCAUGGUGGUAAGUAGUGCUUAGCAGGUCAACACCUUCUCCCAGUGCCCACCGACAAACUGGGAAGUCCCUCCUUCUCUCUGUGAUAGCUUUCCCUGGCUCCUUAAAGUGUAGAUUUCUAGAACAUUCUAUCAACUCAGCAACUCAGAGAUUUCUCUGCACCCAGGAAGCCACAGCUAUGUCCUUCCCAACAAGGUCCAGAUAUCAGCUGGGGACGGGGUGUGGAAGGCUCUCCCUUCAGGGUUUCCACCCAAGGGGGUGGCUGGGGUGGGGGGCUAGCUGUUCCUCCCACAUGCUCUUCUAUAUUCUUUGGCGUCUCUUGACUCCUUACCUACCCAUCCAUUAUUCAACUUCCCUGUUACACUUAAACAUUCUUUCUACCGAACUUCCCAUAUUCAAAUGACCAUGUAGUUUUUGCCUUCUGAUUGGACCCCAACUGCCACAAACACCUCAGGAGAGGAGGCCAGGGCAGUCAGCCAGUGACAUGGCCUGAACUAGGCCAGCAGCCCUGGGAUGGAGAGGAGAGUCCCGAGUUACAGUCAAUUUCUCAGGCAAAGCUGGCCAGUUCCUAACUCAGAACCACACAGAGAAGAAGAUUCUGGGAAAGGAGGUUCUGGACUUCUACCACCCAGAGAACUGAGAUGGGAGGUGGGCUUGAGGCCAGGCUGACAGCACACGGAAGAUCAUUUCAUCCUGUCCUAGGUCAAGCUGUAAGAGCCUAUGGGAUGUCUAGGGGGCCACCACCGGAAGGAGGCUGGAAACACAUAGCCAGAAAGGAUAAAAGAACAAUGGCGGAAGGAAGCAGGAGGGCUUGCGAACUGUGUGCGUAAUCAGUUCACUAGGCUCGAGCUCCUGUUCCACUAGGGGAAGACUCCCCAGGAGCGUCAGUCAGGUGGAAAGUACCAC
This is a long non-coding RNA of Lutra lutra (Eurasian river otter), 4416 nucleotides long. RefSeq lists it as uncharacterized. The transcript has 3 exons. Lineage: Eukaryota; Metazoa; Chordata; Mammalia; Carnivora; Mustelidae. The record is from RefSeq and is a predicted model, not a curated record.